GCUUGUGAACAAAUUGAACAUCUCUUUCUGUCUAUUUAAACGCCAUUUUUGACUAAAAAUAUUUGGCAUAUUAGUGUUCAAACUCCAAUAUAAAAACAAAGGAAUAUCACAUUUGCUUGAGGAUCUUUAGUUAUAUUAUAAAAUAAGAAUUAUAUUUUCCUCGUGUGCUUUGUAAUUGAUCUAGAAGUCAUCUCUUUUGGUCAUACGCAAUGAGUCAAAUCGAAACAGAAAAGACAGAUAUUCCUAUAAACCAUAAAAAAAAGGAAUCAAAUGAGAAAGAAGAGAUACAGAGUGACAAGACAAUAAGGUUGCAAAAUAAUAAUCUUGUUAGGAACAAAUAUUUAUUGAACUUCAAGAAAUGGCCAAUCUUUACUCUACUAGAAGAGGAAAUUCUUCUGCGAAUUGAUCUGGCUUUGAUAUAUAAUGAUGGAGCUUUAAUUGUAACAAAAGAUAAGAUGACAUAUGCCAUAGGUUAUAAUAAGGCUCAUCGAUUAGGGAUACCAGAGAGAGAUAUUAUAAUAUCACGGCCAAAAAAAGUAGAAAUCUUAUGUAAUAAAAAUAUCAAGAAGUUUACUUAUGGAUAUUAUAUGUUUGCUCUUACAAAGGA
This is a long non-coding RNA of Camponotus floridanus (Florida carpenter ant), 607 nucleotides long. RefSeq lists it as uncharacterized. The record is from RefSeq and is a predicted model, not a curated record. The transcript is spliced from 4 exons. NCBI's taxonomy places the organism in Eukaryota, Metazoa, Arthropoda, Insecta, Hymenoptera, Formicidae.